AGUGAACGCUGGCGGUAGGCCUAACACAUGCAAGUCGAACGGCAGCACAGUAAGAGCUUGCUCUUACGGGUGGCGAGUGGCGGACGGGUGAGGAAUACAUCGGAAUCUACUUUUUCGUGGGGGAUAACGUAGGGAAACUUACGCUAAUACCGCAUACGACCUACGGGUGAAGGCAGGGGAUCUUCGGACCUUGCGCGAUUGAAUGAGCCGAUGUCGGAUUAGCUAGUUGGCGGGGUAAAGGCCCACCAAGGCGACGAUCCGUAGCUGGUCUGAGAGGAUGAUCAGCCACACUGGAACUGAGACACGGUCCAGACUCCUACGGGAGGCAGCAGUGGGGAAUAUUGGGCAAUGGGCGCAAGCCUGAUCCAGCCAUACCGCGUGGGUGAAGAAGGCCUUCGGGUUGUAAAGCCCUUUUGUUGGGAAAGAAAAGCAGCAGGUUAAUACCCCGCUGUUCUGACGGUACCCAAAGAAUAAGCACCGGCUAACUUCGUG
RNAcentral lists this ribosomal RNA (492 nucleotides) under uncultured bacterium. Its description in RNAcentral is "partial 16S ribosomal RNA". It matches the Rfam family "Bacterial small subunit ribosomal RNA", at positions 29 to 507 of the family's 1533-position model. The record is from RNAcentral.